GCCAGUUGCGGAAGCACGUUGAAUGCACCAGUUCCCUGUGGCCUGUGGAUCAUUGACGUUAAGCAACGUUUCGUGUGGUUAAUAUCCGGAUAGGUGACCAUCUGGGCAAUCGCGUGCCGCUUUCU
This 125-nucleotide ribosomal RNA is filed under the name Diaphorina citri (Asian citrus psyllid). The record is from RNAcentral. Lineage: Eukaryota; Metazoa; Arthropoda; Insecta; Hemiptera; Psyllidae.